This 4570-nucleotide long non-coding RNA is filed under the name Podarcis lilfordi (Lilford's wall lizard). Lineage: Eukaryota; Metazoa; Chordata; Lepidosauria; Squamata; Lacertidae. The record is from RNAcentral.
UGGAAGAAAUGGUGGUAAGAGAAUGGUUACACCAAACACCAUUGCUUUGUUCAAACUUGCCGUCUCAAGGUUACUUUUGGUUAAAAAUUAUUGUCACUGGACAGCUCAUCACAUCUAGUUUGGGCCUCAGUUCUUGACAAAUGAAUUUAGAAUCUGGAACAGACUAGCAUAUGCAGCAUCUUGCAAAGCCAAGCCCGUAGUCAGGAAAGGAAAUUUAAAUCAGUACAAUUCGAACAUGGUACAUGGAAUAGAAUACCCUGUAGCCAAUUUUUACUUUCUUCCCCAUGCCCCGCAGUAAUAACUUAGAUGGAACAUUCACUGUUGUCUAAUACACCUCAAACAUAUCGGACAUCACUGUAAAUUAUAAGGCACUGUUUUAUGUGAGGGUUUGGUCUGGAUGCAAUUGUACAUGUCUUUGAUUGUACAUUAAAUGAAUACUGCUGAAGUCAACAGAUUCAGAAUUACCUUCUGAUUAAGUAAUGGACCUUUAAAAAUUAGUGGAACAAUUGCAGAUCAGCUCUUCUGAGUAUUUGAAAGCAGGCCUUUAAAUCAGUGUUGGGUGUUUAACAAAAUUAAUAAAGGAUUCAUUUUAGAAAGAUCCUCGGCUGCAGGCAGCAAAACAGCUGGACUUAUUUAAAAUAUUUGUUUCUUUUUAUAUAUAUAUUAUAUAUAUAUUUGUAGAUUUUGCUUUUGCAUUAUUUGUGUGUCUGAUGCAGUAGCACUUUGAGAUAAAAUGUUACAGAGUGAAACAGCUGAUGCUAUCAACAAGGUCAACUUACUGCAGAAAAUUAUUUCAGCUGAUCUCAGCCAAAGCUCAAAAGAUCAUACAGUCCCAUUUCCCCCCCUCCCCACUUUCAGGUUCAUAUUUUGCAGUUGCGUGUUUUGCCAUUUUUCAGAUGUGUGUUUUAAAAUUGGAGUAUUUGAGUUUCUUUUUUAAAAAAGAAAUGGAAGAGCCAAUUCAUUUCUGUGCUUCUGAAAUGGAAAAAAGGUAUUUCAAAGUUAAUUGUACAAAACUGUUACAAUUACCUUGAUUUUUCAUGCAUUGAUUUCUUACGUCUUUAGUGAAAUUUAAAUCUGUCUUUCAUGGUAACUGUUCCACAGGAUUCAACUUAAAAUACAAUGCCUUUUCCUUUAUGCUAUAAGUGCUUAAUGUGGAUAAUCUGUUUAGAUAAAAAUGCCAGUCAUUUAUUAUAGAUAUCAGCAACUAAGGCCACUAUAUACUCUCUAUGAUUUAUGCCUAAACAAAUGUAUGCCAUUUUAUCCAGUAUUAGAAUAAUUCAUUGUCUCGACUACACCUGCACUGUUAAUGAUUAACUGCCCACUCCUUUGCAGGUUUAUUCAGAGGUAAGUCCCACUGUGUUCAGCAGUGAUCAUUCCUAGGUAUUGGGGCAUAAAAUUGCAGCCUGAUUUUACCAGCUUCUGCCACAAAUGGGCUGUCAUGGAAUCUGGCCAGCGUGGAGUGUGGCAUUGCUAGGGAAGAGAGCAAAACAUUCUGAGGAUAACUACAGUUUUUGAAGCCCUACAGAUGCCAGGGAUCAGAGAGCCACAAAUCAGCACUUCAUAAAGAGAAGUGCAGACAAUCCAGAGGAACUUGAGCAACUGUUUAUAUGAGCUCAGGCUGUUUGUCUACCUUGCCCAGCAGCAUCUAAUCUGAGUGGCAGCAACUCUCCAGGGUCUUUGGUGCAGAGAGGUCUGUGCAUUCACCUGCUACCUCCCUUCAGCCGUGGUUCAUUGGUAGAUCAUCUGCUUUGCAUGCAGAAUGUUCAAUCUCCAGGCAGGGCUGGCUGGCCGAAAGCCAGAAGAGCCACCACUAUUCAGUGUAAACAAUACUAAGCUACAUGGACCAAGGUUUGACUUGGUAUAAGGCAGUGUCCUAUGUUCUUAUGCACCUGCUCUUAAGAAGACAUGGCAGGGGUUGUACCUAGAAGGACCUUUUGCAUGUAAAGCAUGUGUUCUCGCAUUAAACUACCAAUCAGUUUCUGUCAAGAGACUACCCACUUUCCAAAUGUUUUUCUUUCUCAUAGCUGAAUUGUCUGCAGAUUUAGAAUCCUAAAUAUGGCUAGAUUUAGGUUUAAGAGACUUGGACUUUAUAAUUAGGCACUAAGAGUGCUGUACGCAUUCUCUUUGAUUUUUGUUGUUGUUAAAAAAUAUCCCCUUGGUGAUUUAAUUUUACAAGGCAUUGAUCAGGGCUCUUGAACACCUGAACAUCUUUCUAGGGUUGAACCAUUUCAGAAUGUGACAUCUUCUGAAUUGAUGCCAUCCCACGAACACGUAGGUCAAAUCUAUAUCAUUUUAUAUUGGGCUUGCCUAAGGAAGGAUAAGAGUAGUUACUAGGGGAGGUAGUAAGCUCAGUUUUUCUGCAUGCCUCUUGGAGUGUAAUGAAAUGUGAUAGCUAAUAUUUGGAAGGGGGCGUCUGUGAAACUCCAGAUUUUUCAUAGGAUUUUCCCUUCUGUUGAAUUCCUGCUUCUUGGACCUCAGUCUCAUGCUGAUUUUAGAGUGGUCAAAUGCAAAAGAGAACAAGGCUGCUGGACCUUUAAUGCCUGUGCAGAAGAGGGAACUUCGCAUGUGUGGGAAAUGUCAUUGCUCCAGAUGUUGCAGACCUGCAACUCCCAUCAGCCCCAUCAAACAUGGGCAAUGGCCAGAGACGAUGGUAACUGUGGAUCAACAACAUCUGGAGGGCCAAAGGUUCCCGCAGCUGAGCUACAACUGCCUAAUUCCCUCUCCUACACAGCUGUUAAAGGUGCAGGAGCCCUGUUUUGCAUCUGAGUCACCUGCCUUAACAGUGGGAAGGCUCAAAGUACAUCUUCUAUAGGAGGCAUUUCCCAGGGGUGCAUUUCGAAAAGCAUUCCAAACUGGCCACUGCCAGAGACAGAUUGUAAGGAUUAAGUCCACCUAGCUCCACAGAAUAACCUGCACAGUCAACUGCUCACAUACUUAAACACAUGGAGAAGGGUUUUGGUUUUCUAAAAACUGGAAAUGGGGCCAGGAAGCUGAUGGUCUAUUAAGAGCUGAAAGUGAACUGGAUCACUACUUUGCAGCAUGUGAAAAAACAUUUUCUAUCUUCAUGUAUAGCCAAAUUAACUAAAUAUUAGAAUUCCUGAAAGAAAAGUUCCCUAUUUAAAGAAUUUAUUUUUUUUAAAUGUUGCUCUCUAAGAGAUGUUUGGGUAUUCCCUUUUGUAAAAUAUAAAUGUAUUUGAAACUGUUAUAAUGACCGGAUAAUGGUGAAUAAUUAGGAACUCAUUUUUAUUUAAAUGCAUUGCACAAUCCAGACACACCCAUGAAGCUGAAUCAGUACAUGUUAAAGCAUUUUAAAUCAGUUUUUGCUUCAUCUGAGAUUAACUGGCUUUACCAUUCCUUUUUAUUGCAGCUACUUUUGGCUUUACCAGCAGAGAUCCUAAACAUACUUGUUAGGAAAACAAAUCCCACUGUUUUCAGUGGGGCUUAAUUUUUGCCCUGGAAAUAACUUUCCCCCACAUUUUAACGCAGUUGUGCAAAUAGAUCUUAUUUAUUCCCGUGUACUUAGAUUUUUAUAAACUGGUUAAACUGAUCUUCCACAGGUGUCCCACAAUCAAAAAUAACAGGUAUUUAUAAUAUUUGUUAUAUUUGUUACUUUUUCCCAGAUGACAUUCAUUGCUCAACAAAACUUUGUUUAUAACAUUUUAUUUUAUAAGGCUUGUUGUGCCUUGCAACCUUUUCUAUUUAAAAAAAAAAUGUUGGUCAAUACUAUCCCAUCAUCAUUUUUUGUUUCAUAUAUAUCAAAGGGUGCAUCAGGAGAAUGUUAAUUGUAUUUCUGUAUGUAAAUAGGUUUUAAAGGCAUCAUAGAAACAUAUUGUUAAAGCUUGUAUUUGACAUUUUUCAUUCGCUACAUCUUUGCUGAACUUGCCUUUGCUAAAUACUGUAGGAAACUUGUUUUAUUUCCAACUUAAUUAUUUUAGGUUUUGAGAUUAACUAUUUUAGUUACUUUUGUCAACAGUUAACAGCAUGGUUUUGUGUGGCACAUCAAAAUCUCUUCUUUUUUUGUUGUAGAAGAAAAUGUGCAAACAACUGUGGGUUAUUUGUGGUAUUCUGGAGUGAACAGAUACAAAUUCAGGAAAAAAAGUGUUUCAGUAAGAAAUGACUGUGUGGUAAAUCUCAUGGGUAAACACAAUGGAAACAGGGCCAUUUUGGAACAUAUAUUUGGAUCCGUGAGUUUAGCAUUUUGUGGGUGUAUUUACAAUCAACUUGUCCUGCAUAUUGGAAUUGCCACAUCAUCUCCUGUCGUAUGGAUCACUUUCAGAAGGGAGAUUUUUUCCUCUCUCCAAGCGAUAGCAGUUUUCUCUAGGAAGAGAACAGGAGCCUAUUUCUCCGCACUCCACCAUGUCUUGUUUAGAUAAUAGUAUCUGAGUAGGCACUUCCUCUAUGUUACAAGGUCAGUGUGUCCAGGAGAAUUCAUUGUGACUAGCAUGCAGAGCAGCUGGACUGCUGCAUUCGUUCUCAUGGAAACUUGCUUUCUUUGUACCACAAGUUCUUCUGUACAUUCAAUAUUAUAAUUAGUGUGAAUGACAAAUAAAACUGUUUGAGAAGUAUACAA